GGCAGCGCAGCGCGGGCUGACUGAAUUCGAGGUGGAGGUGGAUGCCACACACACGCUGUAAUAUUUGGAGAAAUAAGACCCGCUCUUGACUGUCCUUGGUGGCAAAUCCACAGCCUUUCGCUGGAGUAGAAUCAACCGUAUCUGAAGAGAGAGCUGAGGAAAUUAAACAAUGGCUGAGAAACAACACACAGCCCAUCAGCCAGGUGGAACAGUACAUCUGAAAAAUAUGUUUGAGAUCCUCCAUGAGUUUCCUCGGCUAACUACCUCAGGCAUGAUUGCACAGGACUUUCACAUUUUACAUCAAGAUGAAGCCCCAAAACUGUUUGAAAAAUGGCUGGUAUACUGACAGGAUCUUGCUUUUUGCGAAGCGAGAAGCAAAGCUUUCAUGUACAGCUGAAGAAAUGACAGAAGAUGCAAAGGGAAAUCUUGCACUAAAGCUGUUACCUGUUUUUCUUCUACCUCCACCCUACAAAAUUGGCAGAAAAACAGUCCGACCCAGCAAUGAUGAAAGCAAAAAAGCUUUCAUUGACAUUCAGCCUGUAAGUACGACUUACAGAAAUUUACUUCAAUCAUUUAAUGACUUCACCAGGUUGAAUACACUACCA
Molecule: long non-coding RNA, 605 nt
Organism: Carassius auratus (goldfish)
Lineage: Eukaryota; Metazoa; Chordata; Actinopteri; Cypriniformes; Cyprinidae
Exons: 5
Source: RefSeq, a predicted model, not a curated record